GAUACACAGAAGCUCUAGAGUAACUCGGGGAGGCAGAGCAGGGGCAGAAAGAAAAACCCAAAGAUCCGUCCUUUGCUGCUCCCCAAAGGAUCACACUUCUCCCAGUACCCCAUCAGUCCAAGCUGCCCUUCUACUUCUUUGUUCGCAUGAUCCAAUCUUAAAACCUAUAAAUCAACUAAACCCCAGCUUAUUUACAACGUCUCCAUCUGUUCUGAUCAUGGCCCAUUCGGCAGCAGUCUCGCAGGUUUCUUUUGCUGUUCCUGUUGGGAGCGAUUCCACUCUAAGAAGAUCAGUUCUUAAGCCACGCAGUAUAAGCUUCAGUGAUAAAUCAUGGGUCCCUUCAUUAGCUUUGGAUUUGAAAUCAAGGAAUGCUCGAUUGCAAAAUCAUUACAUAGUAUGCAUGUCAUUGCAACAAGCCAGCAGAUCUAAGGUUGCAGUUUCACCUUUAGAAUUUGAAGAUGCCAAAGAGCCUCCAUUGAAUUUAUACAAGCCCAAGGAACCUUACACAGCAACCAUUGUCUCUGUUGAGAAGCUUGUAGGACCAAAAGCUCCUGGAGAAACUUGCCAUAUUGUGAUUGAUCAUGGUGGUAAUGUUCCUUACUGGGAAGGACAAAGUUACGGUGUUAUCCCUCCUGGUGAAAACCCAAAGAAGCCAGGGGCACCUCACAAUGUACGUCUCUAUUCAAUAGCGUCUACCAGGUACGGAGACAAUUUUGAUGGCAAGACAGCUACUUUAUGUGUUCGUCGUGCUCUCUAUUAUGAUCCUGAGAGUGGAAAGGAGGACCCCUCAAAGAGCGGUAUAUGCAGCAAUUUCCUUUGCAACUCAAAGCCUGGGGAUAAGGUUCAGAUCACUGGACCCUCUGGCAAGAUAAUGCUUUUGCCUGAAGACAACCCUAAUGCCACCCACAUAAUGAUUGCUACUGGUACUGGUGUGGCUCCUUUUAGAGGCUACCUUCGUCGUAUGUUCACAGAGGAUGUCCCUACAUUCAAGUUUGGUGGUCUCGCUUGGCUUUUCCUUGGGGUAGCGAACACUGACAGUCUCCUCUAUGAUGAUGAAUUCACGAAGUUUCUUCAAGACUACCCAGACCACUUCCGCUAUGACAAGGCACUUAGCAGAGAACAAAAGAACAGGAGCGGAGGAAAGAUGUAUGUGCAGGACAAAAUUGAGGAAUACAGCGAUGAAAUCUUCAAACUCUUGGAUGGUGGAGCUCACAUCUACUUCUGUGGGCUCAAGGGAAUGAUGCCCGGAAUCCAAGACACACUGAAGAGAGUCGCAGAGCAGAGAGGAGAAAGCUGGGAGCAGAAGCUUUCACAGCUCAAGAAGAACAAGCAAUGGCAUGUGGAGGUGUAUUGAUUUGCAUAUUGUUAACCUCAUUCUCAUCUUUCUUGUGGGAAAAAGCAGCAGCCCGUUCCUCCUCAGCGAAUGCUGCAUUUUACAAUUGUUAUUUGGUCAGCUUUGCAUAAACUCAGAUAAGCUGUUAAAUUCAUCUAUAUUAUUAAAUAAUCAAAUGAUUCUCUUGACCAUAGCAGAUGAAGAAUCCUUUUGGGUUUAUGAUUGUUAAAGAUUCAUGUAUUAGCAGUGUCCAGUGAACUGGUGUUGUCUUUGCCUUCACUGGCAUAGCCACCUUUCAUGCAAAUGCAACGGUAGGUGAAGAUCACCUUAGACAAUCCAGCUCCCUGUUCUUGCAUAUGCAUGUUUUGUUGGGUACUAAAGAUAUGGAGGCCUCCUCUCUCAGCCUCUUGUACUGAUGUCCAAGUCUAAAUCCUUCAUUAUCCAGCACUAAAAAGUGCAAUCUCACAAGACUGUCCCGCCUUCAUUGGAAUUCUUCAUAUUAUCAUUAUUUUCUUUCAAUAUAUUUCAUUGGCAC
Molecule: unclassified non-coding RNA, 1868 nt
Filed under: Hevea brasiliensis (rubber tree)
Lineage: Eukaryota; Viridiplantae; Streptophyta; Magnoliopsida; Malpighiales; Euphorbiaceae
Source: RNAcentral